This 777-nucleotide ribosomal RNA is filed under the name uncultured bacterium. RNAcentral's name for it is "bacterial SSU rRNA". It matches the Rfam family "Bacterial small subunit ribosomal RNA", at positions 87 to 866 of the family's 1533-position model. The record is from RNAcentral.
GCUGGCGACCGGCGCACGGGUGAGUAACACGUAUCCAACCUGCCGAUAACUCGGGGAUAGCCUUUCGAAAGAAAGAUUAAUACCCGAUGGUAUAAUCAGACCGCAUGGUUUGAUUAUUAAAGAAUUUCGGUUAUCGAUGGGGAUGCGUUCCAUUAGGCAGUUGGUGAGGUAACGGCUCACCAAACCUUCGAUGGAUAGGGGUUCUGAGAGGAAGGUCCCCCACAUUGGAACUGAGACACGGUCCAAACUCCUACGGGAGGCAGCAGUGAGGAAUAUUGGUCAAUGGGCGCAGGCCUGAACCAGCCAAGUAGCGUGAAGGAUGACUGCCCUAUGGGUUGUAAACUUCUUUUAUAUGGGAAUAAAGUUUUCCACGUGUGGAAUUUUGUAUGUACCAUAUGAAUAAGGAUCGGCUAACUCCGUGCCAGCAGCCGCGGUAAUACGGAGGAUCCGAGCGUUAUCCGGAUUUAUUGGGUUUAAAGGGAGCGUAGGUGGACAGUUAAGUCAGUUGUGAAAGUUUGCGGCUCAACCGUAAAAUUGCAGUUGAUACUGGCUGUCUUGAGUACAGUAGAGGUGGGCGGAAUUCGUGGUGUAGCGGUGAAAUGCUUAGAUAUCACGAAGAACUCCGAUUGCGAAGGCAGCUCACUGGACUGCAACUGACACUGAUGCUCGAAAGUGUGGGUAUCAAACAGGAUUAGAUACCCUGGUAGUCCACACAGUAAACGAUGAAUACUCGCUGUUUGCGAUAUACAGUAAGCGGCCAAGCGAAAGCAUUAAGUA